AGAAGGGAAAAUAAAAAUGUAGCGGGGGGCAGCAGGGGUAGCUCCUCCCGCUUGGCGACCGGCAAACGGGGUGCGGAACACGUACGCACACCUUCCUUUUAACUUGGAGAAUAGCCCCCUCGAAAGAGGGAUUAAUACUCUCCGCUAACAUAUUGAUAAGGCCACUCUUUAUUAAUAUUAUAGCCCCGGCCGGUUUAAAGAAUGAGCGGGGCGCCUGAUUAAAUAGUUGGGGGGGUAACGGCCCCCCAAGUUUGCGAUAAGAAACCGGGGGGAGAGCACACCAGUUCUCGGGCACUUGAGACACGGGCCCCACCCCUUCGGGAGGCAGAAAAAGGAAUGUGGGGCAUGGACCCAAUUUUAACCCCCCCUGCCGGGGGAGAAAAAGGCCCCCCUGGGUUAAAACUCUUUUUUUGGGAAAAACCCCCCGUUUUUUUAGGGGGGGGGACGGCCAAAAAAAAACCCGUUUAACUCUGGCAGCAACCGGGAAAAAAAGGGGGGGAGGG
Molecule: ribosomal RNA, 503 nt
Filed under: uncultured bacterium
Lineage: Bacteria
Description: partial 16S ribosomal RNA
Rfam family: Bacterial small subunit ribosomal RNA
Source: RNAcentral